Long non-coding RNA from Frieseomelitta varia, 389 nucleotides. RefSeq lists it as uncharacterized. The transcript is spliced from 3 exons. The record is from RefSeq and is a predicted model, not a curated record. NCBI's taxonomy places the organism in Eukaryota, Metazoa, Arthropoda, Insecta, Hymenoptera, Apidae.
AUCAAGUGUUUCCUUGAUGUACCAAUUCCAAAGACAUGAAUAUUGUAAAUUGUAAGUGGAUGCUGCUUAGCUACGGAUCAAGUGCGAUCUUUAGGUUAAGCGUGCAGUGUGCGAAACACCUUUAGGGAAACUUCUUAUCUCUGCACGACACGUGUUGAUGCAAGUAUAAGUCAUCGUUUUGAAUCUUGAGAUUAUUGAGUUAUUACAGUUGAAUUCGGUGGGUAGCACCUGAAUUAUCACACCAAGUUAACUACUCUACAUAUAUAGAGCAUAAUAAAACAUGCCACAAGACAAAACCAAUUGAGCCUUGUUAACCAAGUUAAUUAUAAUUCCAUUGUAAUUUUUCGAAACACCGAAAUGUUUUCAGUUUCUUUUAUCAUUUAUCAAUC